GGGUGGUGUAGUGGCAGCACACAUCCCCGGUAUGGAUGAAACGCUGGUUCUACCCCGGUCUGAGGUCG
Parelaphostrongylus tenuis is the source of this 68-nucleotide non-coding RNA. The record is from the annotation of a GenBank genome assembly. Lineage: Eukaryota; Metazoa; Nematoda; Chromadorea; Rhabditida; Metastrongylidae.